GAAGCCUCUGUUUUGGUUUUCUACAUCUGUUUGUUUCAUUGUUUUGUUUAGUUUUUGGUGUAAUUGUUUUUGGCGAAGAUGAUUGAUUGCUUAAUAUUCUGACACCUCUUGUAUGAGAAUGGCAAUCAAAAGCUGUUCCUUGAGCACAUAAAGCACCUCUCUGAGCCUAUUUCUUUUUCUAUCUAAAUGUUUUUUUGAUUAGUGUAUCGAUCAGAAAUUCAGGCAACCACCUUUUGUAAAUUACUCGAAAGGUGUAUGAGAGAAAAAGCAACGAUUUUUUUAGAAAGAAAUGCCGACAAUUUGUUUCUAGCGAAGGUUCAAAAUUCCAGUGUGUUCACUUCCAUUCAAAUCUUUCUCUCUCCCUUUUAGAUCUAGCAUGCAGGUGGUGGCUUUAGAGAGAGAGUAUGUGACUGAUCUUGUGAAAUUGCCCACAAAUCUGGAUGAAUCGAACACCCUCCACUCGAUGCAGGUGUUAACUCGUCCUCUACACCCUUGUAUUCUACCGAUUUGUACCAAGGGAGUCCGAUUUUAGGCCGUUCAUGAUCAAUCCACUUGCUGAGGCUCUGUCGGCGGUGGAGUUGCGAUGAGAGGAGGGGUGCCCAAUGGUCGGGUGGAGGUGGUAACCAGGUGAUGGUGGUAACCGGUGGUGGUGGUAGUGGUCGGUAUAGAGAGAGAUGAGAGAAAGUGUAGGUUAGAGAGUGGUGGUGGUCGAGUGGUGGCAGUAACCAGGUGGUGAUGAUGGUGUUCUAUAAGUUAGAGAGAGUGAGAGAUAAAGAAGGGGAAUACAUAUUUAUUUAUUUAAACUAGGGUUAAGACCCGCCCACGUUGCGGCGCGUGUACAUCAUAAACAUUGAAUAGAUUAGUCCAAACAUUAUAUGAUGCAUUAACCAUAUGAAAACACACAUUUCGACGUAUCCAAUUGAACUCAGUGUAACUUAUAUAAGCAUUGUGAUUGGAUCAAAUGUAAAGUAAAUGGAAUUCA
Long non-coding RNA from Helianthus annuus (common sunflower), 982 nucleotides. RefSeq lists it as uncharacterized. The transcript is spliced from 2 exons. Lineage: Eukaryota; Viridiplantae; Streptophyta; Magnoliopsida; Asterales; Asteraceae. The record is from RefSeq and is a predicted model, not a curated record.